Molecule: ribosomal RNA, 426 nt
Filed under: uncultured bacterium
Lineage: Bacteria
Description: bacterial SSU rRNA
Rfam family: Bacterial small subunit ribosomal RNA
Source: RNAcentral
GAAUUGUUCGCAAUGGGCGCAAGCCUGACGACGCAACGCCGCGUGGAGGAUGAAGAUCUUCGGGUCGUAAACUCCUGUCGAGUGGGAAGAAUAGUCUCGGGGCAAAUAUCCUCGAGGCCUGACGGUACCACUAAAGGAAGCCCCGGCUACCUCCGUCCCCGCAGCCGCGGGAAUACGGGGGGGGCAAGCGUUGUUCGGAAUUACUGGGCGUAAAGGGCUCGUAGGCGGCCAACUAAGUCGGAUGUGAAAUCCCCAGGCUCAACCUGGGAACUGCAUCCGAUACUGGAUGGCUUGAAUUCGGGAGAGGGAUGCAGAAUUCCAGGUGUAGCGGUGAAAUGCGUAGAUACCUGGAGGAAUACCGGUGGCGAAGGCGGCAUCCUGGACCGACAUUGACGCUGAGGAGCGAAAGCUAGGGGAGCAAACGGG